CUGUUUUUAAUGACUUUUAUUUCUUUUUUAAUGCACUUGUUAUUGUUCCUGCACCUCGCUGUAACGUUUUUAAUGUUUUAUGUAAAACUCUUUGAAUUGUCUUGUACAUGAAAAGGAGCUGUAUAAAUAAAGUUG
This is a long non-coding RNA of Melanotaenia boesemani (Boeseman's rainbowfish), 135 nucleotides long. RefSeq lists it as uncharacterized. The transcript is spliced from 3 exons. NCBI's taxonomy places the organism in Eukaryota, Metazoa, Chordata, Actinopteri, Atheriniformes, Melanotaeniidae. The record is from RefSeq and is a predicted model, not a curated record.